RNAcentral lists this long non-coding RNA (210 nucleotides) under Ananas comosus (pineapple). Its description in RNAcentral is "long non-coding RNA (ACOM_LNC006292)". Lineage: Eukaryota; Viridiplantae; Streptophyta; Magnoliopsida; Poales; Bromeliaceae. The record is from RNAcentral.
AAAUUAUUAUUAUUUUUUUUAGAAAAAGGUGGCAAACAUGUUACCUACUUCGUUUAUUUUUUUUAUAAAUAAAUUUAGCUGAAAAUUUAAUCAAUUAAGAUUCGAACUUGGAAUCUCGAAUAUCAACCAUCAAAUUUUUUGCCAAUUGCGUUAAGGACAGUCGGUCGCAUCACAAAAUUGCUGCAUGUAGAAUCGACACCUCUACCAUCC